ACUCACUGCAGCCUUGAUCUCCCAGGCUCAAACUUCAGCUUCCUGAGUAGCUGAGACUACAAGUGUGCACCACCACUCCCAGCUAAUUUUUUUCUUUUUUUGGAUAGAGACAGGGUCUCACUGUGUUGUCCAGACCGGUCUCUAGCUCCUGGCCUUAAGCAGUCCUCCUGUGUUAGCUUCUCAAAUUGCUGGAAUUUUGGGUAUGAGCCACCAUGCCUGGCCUGGGCUAGUCCUGAUUUCUCUAGAGUUCUCUUUACUUUGUGCUAGCCAAUCUCUCAUUAUGCCGUUCCCCUGUUACAAUGAAUAAUUCUCUGGAUUAAAUUUUACCACUUUAAACUUUUGAGUGGUUUAUGUCUCCUGGUUGGACUCUAAUAUGCCCGGAAGGGUCCCAGGAGAUGAACCCACACAGAUGGGAUUUGGGCAUAGGUUUGGUUUUCCAAGGGACAGUGCUGAGCUCCUUGCCAAUGGGAAAUGGGAUGCUGGUGAUUUCCGGUAAGUGACCUCACAGUGACUCAAGCUACCACUUACUGUUGAUUGUGAUGAAAUGCCAACUGAGAGGCACAUGCCUUGGGAGCUAAGUGGUUGCUGCACUGGACCGCUAUGAAGACUGGUGUGGGAAGGGUCCUUUUGGAUGCACGUGAGCGGGGGUCCCCAACCCCUGAGCCAUGGAAGCUGUAAGGAGCCACACAACAGGAGGUGAGUGGUGUCGAGUGAGGGAAACUUCAUCUGUAUUUACAGCCACUCCCCUUUGCUCACAUUCCUGCCUGAGCUCCACCUUCUCUCAGGUCAGCAACAGCAUUAGAUUCUCAUACGAGCACGCACCCUGUUGUGAACCAUGCAUGUGAGGGAUCUAGGUUAUGCUGUCCCUAUGAGAAUCUAAUGCCUAAUGAUCUGUCACUUUCUCCCGUCACACUCAGAUGGGACCAUCUAGUCGCAGGAAAACAAGCUUAACAUGGCUACUGAUUCUACAUUAUGGUCUUGCCUCCCGGCAGCCUCUCCAGGCCCAGAAGUUUCUCCAGACAGCCUUUACAGACCAAGCUCAUGACUCACAAUGGUCUAUUUAGGCCCAUACCCUACCUCACAGCAGUCUCUGCGUCUGAGACUACUGCCUCACAACAGCAUCCACAGGCCCAGCUCCAUCAUUAUGACAGCCUCUUUAGGCCCAGCUCCUGCCUCAGAACAACCUCUUUUGGCUCAGCUCCUGCCCAGCUUCUAAUGGCCUUUGAAGACCCAAAAGUGCCUCAGGUCAAACUUUCCAGGCCCACCCUCUGCCUCCCAGUGGCCUGGACAGGCCCAGCUCCUACGUGACAAUGGCCUCUCCAGGCCCAGCUUUUGCCUCAUGGACAUCUUCCCCAACCAAGCUCCUACCUGCCUCCUGGCCAUCUUGAUGGGCCCAGAUCCUGCCUCACGCUAACCUCAUUACGCCCAGCUCAUGCCUCACUGUGGCCUGUCCAGGCCCAGGUCCUGCCCCCCGACAGGCUGUCCGUGCCUGAAACUUCCUCAAGUCAGCCUCUCCAGUCACAGCUCCUGCCCAACAUUGGCCUCUUUAGGCACAGCUUGUGCCUUGGUGGCCUCUCCAGGCCCAGCUCCUGCAUCCUGGCAGCUUCUCUAGGCCAAGAACUUUCUCAGGUUCACCAUCCCAGGCCCAACUCCUGCCUCCCGUCAGCCUCUAUAGGCUCAACCUCUGCCUUACAGGAGACUUUCCUGGCCACCUAGGCCAAGCUCCUCCCUUUCAGCAGCCUCUGCAGGCCCAGCUCCUGCCUCUCAGUGACCUCUCUAGAGCAAGCUCAUGCCUCACAGUGGCCAUUCUGGCUCAGCUUUUGCCUUUUGGCAGCAUGUCCAGGCCCAGAACUUCCUCAAGUGGGCCUCUCCAGGCCCACCACUUCCUCCCGGCUGCAUCUCCAGGCCCACCUCCUACCUCACAACAACCUCUUUCAGCUCAGCUCUUGCCCAGCUCCUGGCAGCCUUUAUAGGCCCAAAGCUUUCUCACAUCACGUUCUCCAGCACAACCUGCCUCCCAGCAGCUUAAAUAGGUCCAGCUCCUGCGUGACCAUGGCCUCUCCAGGCUCAGCUCUUGCCUAACGGAGUUCGUCCUUGGCCAAGUUCCUGCCUGCCUCCCAACAGGCUCGAAAGGCCCAGCUCCUGCCCCCGACAGUCUCUCCAGGCCAAAAUCUUCCUC
RNA transcript from Piliocolobus tephrosceles (Ugandan red Colobus), 2179 nucleotides. RefSeq lists it as uncharacterized. Lineage: Eukaryota; Metazoa; Chordata; Mammalia; Primates; Cercopithecidae. The record is from RefSeq and is a predicted model, not a curated record. The transcript is spliced from 2 exons.